Molecule: ribosomal RNA, 701 nt
Filed under: Pediococcus pentosaceus
Lineage: Bacteria; Bacillati; Bacillota; Bacilli; Lactobacillales; Lactobacillaceae
Description: bacterial SSU rRNA
Rfam family: Bacterial small subunit ribosomal RNA
Source: RNAcentral
AGGGAUCUUCCACAAUGGACGAAAGUCUGAUGGAGCAACGCCGCGUGAGUGAAGAAGGGUUUCGGCUCGUAAAACUCUGUUGUUAAAGAAGAACAUAUCUGAGAGUAACUGUUCAGGUAUUGACGGUAUUUAACCAGAAAGCCACGGCUAACUACGUGCCAGCAGCCGCGGUAAUACGUAGGUGGCAAGCGUUGUCCGGAUUUAUUGGGCGUAAAGCGAGCGCAGGCGGUUUUUUAAGUCUGAUGUGAAAGCCUUCGGCUCAACCGAAGAAGUGCAUCGGAAACUGGGAAACUUGAGUGCAGAAGAGGACAGUGGAACUCCAUGUGUAGCGGUGAAAUGCGUAGAUAUAUGGAAGAACACCAGUGGCGAAGGCGGCUGUCUGGUCUGUAACUGACGCUGAGGCUCGAAAGUAUGGGUAGCAAACAGGAUUAGAUACCCUGGUAGUCCAUACCGUAAACGAUGAAUGCUAAGUGUUGGAGGGUUUCCGCCCUUCAGUGCUGCAGCUAACGCAUUAAGCAUUCCGCCUGGGGAGUACGGCCGCAAGGCUGAAACUCAAAGGAAUUGACGGGGGCCCGCACAAGCGGUGGAGCAUGUGGGUUUAUUUCGAAGCUGACGCGAAGAACCUUACCAGGUCUUGACAUACUUAUGACAAAUCUAAGAGAUUAGACGUUCCCUUCCGGGGAACAUGAAUGACAGGUGGU